AAGUCGUAACAAGGUUUCCGUAGGUGAACCUGCGGAAGGAUCAUUAUUGAACAAUCAAACCAAUGUGGGCAAGUUGUAGCUGGCCUCUCGGGGCAUGUGCACGCUUGUCUGCAAUUGUUCUCCAUCCACCUGUGAACAUUUUGUAGACUUGCGAAGCUUAUGGACGAAGGGGUAACCUUUCAGAAGUAAUGAUUUGCGGUCUAUGUUUUUAUAAACACCAAUGAAAGUCAAAGAAUGUCUUGUUAUAUUCAAAUACAAAUAUAACUUUCAGCAACGGAUCUCUUGGCUCUC
RNAcentral lists this unclassified non-coding RNA (291 nucleotides) under fungal sp. RNAcentral describes it as "partial internal transcribed spacer region". The stretch from base 1 to 46 matches the Rfam family "Eukaryotic small subunit ribosomal RNA", at positions 1786 to 1831 of the family's 1831-position model. Lineage: Eukaryota; Fungi. The record is from RNAcentral.